AACGAACGCUGGCGGCAUGCCUAACACAUGCAAGUCGAACGAACCCUUCGGGGUGAGUGGCGCACGGGUGCGUAACACGUGGGAACCUGCCCUUAGGUUCGGAAUAACAGUUAGAAAUGACUGCUAAUACCGGAUAAUGUCUUCGGACCAAAGAUUUAUCGCCUUUGGAUGGGCCCGCGUAGGAUUAGCUAGUUGGUGAGGUAAGGGCUCACCAAGGCGACGAUCCUUAGCUGGUCUUAGAGGAUGAUCAGCCACACUGGGACUGAGACACGGCCCAGACUCCUACGGGAGGCAGCAGUGGGGAAUAUUGGACAAUGGGCGAAAGCCUGAUCCAGCAAUGCCGCGUGAGUGAUGAAGGCCUUAGGGUUGUAAAGCUCUUUUACCUGGGAUGAUAAUGACAGUACCAGGAGAAUAAGCCCCGGCUAACUCCGUGCCAGCCGCCGCAGUAA
RNAcentral lists this ribosomal RNA (449 nucleotides) under uncultured bacterium. RNAcentral describes it as "partial 16S ribosomal RNA". It matches the Rfam family "Bacterial small subunit ribosomal RNA", at positions 29 to 523 of the family's 1533-position model. The record is from RNAcentral.